AAAACUUGGACUUGGACCUCUCUCAUUUGAGCCCACAAAGCCAUGAAAAUCAGGUUAUAAAAGAGGGAGAUCAGACAGAAAAAGGAAGAGAAGCAAAAUACUCUGAGGUUUCCUUGAAACAAAACCCUUGACAAAACCUGGAGAGAAACCUGACAGAGAACUCAAAGCAACCCCCAGGCAGCUCUGAAAAAUUCAAUCUGACUCAC
RNAcentral lists this long non-coding RNA (206 nucleotides) under Lathyrus oleraceus (garden pea). Its description in RNAcentral is "Pisum sativum (pea) long non-coding RNA (PSAT_LNC013971)". The record is from RNAcentral. Lineage: Eukaryota; Viridiplantae; Streptophyta; Magnoliopsida; Fabales; Fabaceae.